CAGUAGCCGCGGUAAUACGGAGGGGGCAAGCGUUAUCCGGAAUUAUUGGGCGUAAAGGGUACGUAGGUGGCCUUUUAAGCGUAGGGUAUAAGGCAAUGGCUCAACCAUUGUUCGCCCUAUGAACUGGAAGGCUUGAGUGCAGGAGAGGAAAGCGGAAUUCCUAGUGUAGCGGUGGAAUGCAUAGAUAUUAGGAGGAACAUCAGCGGCGAAGGCGGCUUUCUGGACUGCAACUGACACUGAGGUACGAAAGCGUGGGGAGCAAACAGGAUUAGAGACCCCAGUAGUCCCUGUCUCUUAUACA
RNAcentral lists this ribosomal RNA (301 nucleotides) under uncultured bacterium. Its description in RNAcentral is "partial 16S ribosomal RNA". It matches the Rfam family "Bacterial small subunit ribosomal RNA", at positions 509 to 808 of the family's 1533-position model. The record is from RNAcentral.